Molecule: ribosomal RNA, 774 nt
Filed under: uncultured Neocallimastigales
Lineage: Eukaryota; Fungi; Neocallimastigomycota; Neocallimastigomycetes; Neocallimastigales
Description: partial large subunit ribosomal RNA
Rfam family: Eukaryotic large subunit ribosomal RNA
Source: RNAcentral
UACACGCUGUGACUAGCAUAUCAAUAAGCGGAGGAAAAGAAACUAACAAGGAUUCCCCUAGUAACGGCGAGUGAAGCGGGAAGAGCUCAAAUUUGAAAUCUUAAAGGGUUUCCCUUUACGAAUUGUAGUUUAAAGAAGUGUUUUCUGUUGAGGUUUUGGUAAAAGUUCUUUGGAAUAGGACAUCAUAGAGGGUGAGAAUCCCGUAUUUGACCUUUACUUUCAACUUUGUGAUACACUUUCAAAGAGUCGGAUUGUUUGGGAAUGCAGUCCAAAAUGGGUGGUAAAUUUCAUCUAAAGCUAAAUAUUGGCGAGAGACCGAUAGCGAACAAGUACCGUGAGGGAAAGAUGAAAAGAACUUUGAAAAGAGAGUUAAACAGUACGUGAAAUUGUCAAAAGGGAAGCGUUUGGACACCAGUGUUGUUUUUCUGAAAAUCAAUUAAAGAACUGUUUAUGCUAAGUUGUUUAGACUUUAUCAGCUAACUGUUUAGUUUUGAGCUUUUCUUUAAUGCACUUUUCAGUUAACAAGUCAACAUCAAUUUCUUUUGCUGUAAAAAAGCUUGAGGAAGGUGGCUUGAGAUUCGUCUUAAGUGUUUAUAGCCUCUUGCCUAUGCAGUCGGAGAGAUUGAGGUCUGCAGCGCAGAUCCUUCGGGGCUAAAUGCAUUUGUGCUAAGUUAUAACAUUUUAUAGACAAUUUGUUGACUAUGAUUUGUCUUGUAGCUUACUCGCUUAUGUUAUUUUACCUACGCUUAGGAUGUUGAAGUCAUCGUAUCGCGC